This 704-nucleotide long non-coding RNA is filed under the name Hordeum vulgare. RNAcentral's name for it is "long non-coding RNA (HVUL_LNC020362)". The record is from RNAcentral. Lineage: Eukaryota; Viridiplantae; Streptophyta; Magnoliopsida; Poales; Poaceae.
GUACCCCCAGCACGCCUCCUCCGUCCACCGCCCGGUCGUACGCAGGCCGAUCCGCCGCCGCGUCACGACAGCGGGCCCCGCCGCUAGCGAGCAAUGGACCGGGUCGGCAGCGGCGAGAAGCACCUCGAGGACUGCACCGUCGCCAAGUUAGUCACCCGGCUCUCCCUCCCUCCCCCCCUGCCUCCUGCCUUGUGAUUCUUGCUGCCGCUUCGGUCACGAUCGCUGUGGUGCCUGUCUAGGUGUGGGAUUCGCGGGCGCCCGCUAGGUGUUCGUUGAAAUGCUCCAACGGCAGCAAUUCCACGCUCUUCUGUUUUUUCUGUUUGAGGGGCAGAGACGUCAGGGUUUCUUGAUCCAUGCUAUGAUGUCACAACAUACUGUAGAAUCAGAAAUGGUGUCGCAUUCACGAAACCUCAGCUUAUGGACAUGGUACGAUGUAACCUUUUCCCGAGAGUAACUCAUGGAUGUGAAUGUGAUUUGGGCAUUAGGCGCACUAUGCCUUCAGUUGCUCUACUGCCAUAUUCCUCAACCAUCACCCUUUUUUUGGGUACAUCCUGUGAGAAGUGCACUGGCGUAUGGUCACAUGCUAUAUAUUCGGGAUGUUCACGGCUAUAUUAGAAUAAUAAUGAAUUGUGUUAACAGUGUGCAGUUAAAAGUGCCUUGAGCAUGGGCUGUGGAUUUGUAGACUUUGCUUGGAAUAUGUGAGA